AGUCGAAAAUCAUUCUUUCUCAAGUUAAACUGACUACCCGUUUAGUAAUGAAUAACGGAAAGUGUUCUCGAUUUUACCAUGCCCAUGGUAGGAAUAAGAAUUAAAAGAAUGUAAUUCUCACCAGCGCUCACUUACGUUUCGAGCUCACUUUCAUUAUGACGACAUUUUUUGUGCACCAGUCAAGCCUGGACCUUGCUUAUUUGUGUGGUUCGCUUCAAAAUGUAUUAAUUAAAUCAAACAAUACAGACCUGCGAAAUGCCCGGGCUGAGAAUCUAGAGUUCCUCAUACCAAAAUCCAGAGCUGCCAAGACUCGAGUCGCGCAAUGUAUAGCAGAGAAAUACCAACCAAACCUGCUGAGUGUACUUUGACCUACGUAUCGAGCAAUGAGAACCUCCACCCGGAUUUCUUUAUAAUCGAUGCCACGGGAAAGCGGAAGAGUUUACAGAAGCUGUCAUGCAUAUCAUCCCUACUUUUGUUUUGCUUCCAAAA
This is a long non-coding RNA of Aedes aegypti (yellow fever mosquito), 489 nucleotides long. RefSeq lists it as uncharacterized. The record is from RefSeq and is a predicted model, not a curated record. The transcript has 3 exons. NCBI's taxonomy places the organism in Eukaryota, Metazoa, Arthropoda, Insecta, Diptera, Culicidae.